This 253-nucleotide ribosomal RNA is filed under the name uncultured bacterium. Its description in RNAcentral is "partial 16S ribosomal RNA". It matches the Rfam family "Bacterial small subunit ribosomal RNA", at positions 524 to 776 of the family's 1533-position model. The record is from RNAcentral.
UACAGAGGUGGCAAGCGUUGUUCGGAAUUACUGGGCGUAAAGGGCGCGUAGGCGGCCAUCUAAGUCAGACGUGAAAUCCCCCGGCUUAACCUGGGAACUGCGUCUGAUACUGGAAGGCUCGAGUUUGGGAGAGGGAUGUGGAAUUCCAGGUGUAGCGGUGAAAUGCGUAGAUAUCUGGAGGAACACCGGUGGCGAAGGCGGCAUCCUGGACCAACACUGACGCUGAGGCGCGAGAGCUAGGGGAGCAAACGGG